ACAAACUUGGUCAUUUAGAGGAAGUAAAAGUCGUAACAAGGUUUCCGUAGGUGAACCUGCGGAAGGAUCAUUAUUGAAUAAACCUGGCUUGCUGAUGCUGGUCUCUCCGGAGGCAUGUGCUCGCUUGUCCAUCUUUAUAUCUCCACCUGUGCACACUCUGUAGACUUGCAAUCGAGGUUUUGGGAAUUUCCCUUGACAGCCUUUGCUCGCUACGUUUUUUCAUAUACCCCAUGAAAAUGUAACAGAAUGUAUCACUAGGUCUUUGAACCUAUAAAACAAUAUACAACUUUCAGCAACGGAUCUCUUGGCUCUCGCAUCGAUGAAGAACGCAGC
This 333-nucleotide unclassified non-coding RNA is filed under the name uncultured fungus. RNAcentral describes it as "partial contains small subunit ribosomal RNA, internal transcribed spacer 1, and 5.8S ribosomal RNA". The stretch from base 1 to 73 matches the Rfam family "Eukaryotic small subunit ribosomal RNA", at positions 1759 to 1831 of the family's 1831-position model. Lineage: Eukaryota; Fungi. The record is from RNAcentral.